GCUUUGGCCCCAAAACCCUGGUGCAGGACCUAGGGGACGUAGGGCGGCAGGACGAACAUUGGCCCGGCCCUCGCCUCCUCCUGUGACCCCGCAACCCCUCACCUCCCGCGGGGAGAAGAGGCGUAAGAGACGGGGUUUCACCAUGUUGCCCAGGCUGCUCUCGAACACCUGAGCUGAAGCUUCCCAAAGUGUAGGGAUUACAAGCGUGAGCCACCGUGCCCAGCCUCUACCCAACUCUUUUAGGACACAUUCCCAGGAGCCUAGCUACGUGGAGAAUAGCUAAAGCCCCAGCCUUCAACCCUUGCUUAACUCAUAGAGGACUGCCAUGUGAGUGAGCCAACUCAGAGGCAAAUUCUCAGUUAGCUGAUUUGCCCCAGCUGAUGGUGCAUGGAGCAAAAUGAGCCUUCCCCAUGAAGCCCUGCCCAAAAUACAGAUAUAUGAGCAAAAUAAAUGAUUGUUGUUUUGAA
This is a long non-coding RNA of Homo sapiens (human), 467 nucleotides long. RefSeq lists it as uncharacterized. NCBI's taxonomy places the organism in Eukaryota, Metazoa, Chordata, Mammalia, Primates, Hominidae. The transcript is spliced from 2 exons. The record is from RefSeq and is a predicted model, not a curated record.